Podarcis lilfordi (Lilford's wall lizard) is the source of this 315-nucleotide non-coding RNA. The record is from the annotation of a GenBank genome assembly. Lineage: Eukaryota; Metazoa; Chordata; Lepidosauria; Squamata; Lacertidae.
GGGCUGGGGCGGGGGAAGCCCGAGCUUCCCCCGACCCCAGCCCCCAAACAGGCAGCUCUCUGCAAGCCGUGGGAGCCCAGCGCUGGCUCCCGCUGCUUGCGGAGAGGUCCGCGAAGCCUGGACGCGCUGAGCUCAGCGCGCGCAGGCUUCAGCAUGCAGGCAACUCUCCGCAAGCAGCGGGAGCCCAGCGCUGGGCUCCCGCUGCUUGCGGAGAGGUGCGCGAAGCCUGCAUUCGCCCCAUAGGACACACACACAUUUCCCCUUCAUUUUUGGAGGGGGAAAAGUGCGUCCUAUAGGGCGAAAAAUACGGUACUU